UACGAAGGGUGCAAGCGUUACUCGGAAUUACUGGGCGUAAAGCGUGCGUAGGUGGUUUGUUAAGUCCGAUGUGAAAGCCCUGGGCUCAACCUGGGAAUGGCAUUGGAUACUGGCAGGCUAGAGUGCGGUAGAGGGCAGUGGAAUUCCCGGUGUAGCAGUGAAAUGCGUAGAGAUCGGGAGGAACAUCUGUGGCGAAGGCGACUGCCUGGACCAGCACUGACACUGAGGCACGAAAGCGUGGGUAGCAAACAGG
Molecule: ribosomal RNA, 253 nt
Filed under: uncultured bacterium
Lineage: Bacteria
Description: partial 16S ribosomal RNA
Rfam family: Bacterial small subunit ribosomal RNA
Source: RNAcentral